ACUCCAAGUAAUGUCCGUUCCUGUUGGCAGGCACCGGUUUGCGUUGGAGACGGAACCCUCGUAGGGGUGCCAAGCAGUUACUAGUGGCCCAGAGGACACUAGUGAUCAGAGACAAUGCCACAAGGCUAUUUGGAGCCAGCUGGUGGCCAUCCAAAUGUCUCCCUACACAGUUCUGGAGCUGCUGUGGGCUGUCCUGGAGCAGCUGUGGGCUGCUGGGUUGGUGAUAUACGAACAUGUGCCACAUGUGCCACG
Long non-coding RNA from Lutra lutra (Eurasian river otter), 252 nucleotides. RefSeq lists it as uncharacterized. The transcript is spliced from 3 exons. NCBI's taxonomy places the organism in Eukaryota, Metazoa, Chordata, Mammalia, Carnivora, Mustelidae. The record is from RefSeq and is a predicted model, not a curated record.